CCUACGGGAGGCUGCAGUGGGGAAUAUUGGACAAUGGGCGAAAGCCUGAUCCAGCCAUGCCGCGUGUGUGAAGAAGGCCUUCGGGUUGUAAAGCACUUUCAGUGGGGAAGAAAGCCUUGGGGCUAAUACCCUCGAGGAAGGACAUCACCCACAGAAGAAGCACCGGCUAACUCCGUGCCAGCAGCCGCGGUAAUACGGAGGGUGCGAGCGUUAAUCGGAAUUACUGGGCGUAAAGCGCGCGUAGGCGGUCUGAUAAGCCGGUUGUGAAAGCCCCGGGCUCAACCUGGGAACGGCAUCCGGAACUGUCAGGCUAGAGUGCAGGAGAGGAAGGUAGAAUUCCCGGUGUAGCGGUGAAAUGCGUAGAGAUCGGGAGGAAUACCAGUGGCGAAGGCGGCCUUCUGGACUGACACUGACGCUGAGGUGCGAACGCGUGGGUAGCAAACAGGAUUAGAUACCCCAGUAGUC
This 465-nucleotide ribosomal RNA is filed under the name Vreelandella stevensii. RNAcentral's name for it is "partial 16S ribosomal RNA". It matches the Rfam family "Bacterial small subunit ribosomal RNA", at positions 338 to 795 of the family's 1533-position model. Lineage: Bacteria; Pseudomonadati; Pseudomonadota; Gammaproteobacteria; Oceanospirillales; Halomonadaceae. The record is from RNAcentral.